Molecule: long non-coding RNA, 918 nt
Filed under: Lathyrus oleraceus (garden pea)
Lineage: Eukaryota; Viridiplantae; Streptophyta; Magnoliopsida; Fabales; Fabaceae
Description: Pisum sativum (pea) long non-coding RNA (PSAT_LNC028190)
Source: RNAcentral
UUUCUCUCUCUUCAAUUUCCCAGCCGCUCAUAAAAGGGCUCUGCAAACCCUAAAGAAGAAUUUCUCCCGGAGAAGACGGCCGAAGGCGACGGCUCACGGCGGAGCCUCCCUUCUUCUCCGGCCACUCUAACCAAAACAACACUUAACCCUCUAAAUACAACCUUCCGAGUUCGAAUCCGAACUCUAAAAUCCCUAAACCAAACUCAAACUUUCUAGAUCGGAGCGAAAUCUAACCGAUCUAAAACUCCUCCAAUCCCUAAACCCUAGUUUCAAAAAUCAAGGCUUUCGCAUGUUACGAUUCAAGGAAAAUAACGGGGAUUUGUUCCACUUACCACGGCGAAGGAGGCGGAAAGAUGAUUUCAGGCGAAGAAGGAGCGCUUUUGGUUCGAUUUUGUCGUCGGCAAUCCGUCACGGUUUUAGAUGAGCUUCUCCUCAAUAUUUCUUUUCGUCUUCUUCUUCUUUGUCUGUUUUUGUUUCUGAUGAUUAUGGAUUGCAAAGCUAUUUUAAUUUCUUUGUUAUUAUUUGCUAGUUUUCUGAAUACUAUGUGUUUGGUGUUCUUAACGAAAAUAUCUUGGAUUACUCUCUGGUAUUUCAAGAAUGUUUUUCUUUGUUUGGUUCUGGGUUUGAAAAAAUCUCUUUGUUCUCUUUCUCUUGCUGUUAACUUAUAUCUGAUAAAACUGCUCAAAUGAUGAACUUUUUGAGUCUUAUAAAAACUCUUUUCAGUUAUGCCUUUUUCUUCCAGAUUAUGUGGGAUCCGUUUUUUUGUAGAUUUGUUACUGUUUUAAACCAUUUUUGAAAUGCUUUUUGGGUGUUCCAGUUAGUCCUCUAGGCAAAAUGUCAAACUGAUUAAUUUAUUUGUUAUUCUUCAGUCCUUUAAGCGCUUCUGGAAAGGGCUUUUUCACUUAAGCCGUUUUUCUC